Molecule: ribosomal RNA, 504 nt
Filed under: uncultured bacterium
Lineage: Bacteria
Description: partial 16S ribosomal RNA
Rfam family: Bacterial small subunit ribosomal RNA
Source: RNAcentral
GACGAACGCUGGCGGCGUGCUUAACACAUGCAAGUCGAACGGUGAAGCGCUUGCCUUUUUGGUGGGUGUGGAUGAGUGGCGAACGGGUGAGUAACACGUUAGUAACCUGCCCUCUUCUUCUGGAUAACCUCAUGAAAGUGGGGCUAAUACGGGGUAUUCCGGGUCUGUCGCAUGGCGGGUUUGGGAAAGAUUGCGCCUUUGGGUGUUUUCGGUGGGGGAUGGGCUCGCGGCCUAUCAGCUUGUUGGUGGGGUGAUGGCCUACCAAGGCGGUGACGGGUAGCCGGCCUGAGAGGGUGGACGGCCACACUGGGACUGAGACACGGCCCAGACUCCUGCGGGAGGCAGCAGGGGGGAAUAGUGCACAAUGGGCGCAAGCCUGAUGCAGCGACGCCGCGUGAGGGAUGGAGGCCUUCGGGUUGUGAACCUCUUUCGCCAGUGAAGCAGGCCUGCGCCUGUGUGGGUGGGUUGACGGUAGCUGGAUAAGAAGCGCCGGCUAACUACGUG